AUGAGCGUGUUCUUGGGCCAUCAUAGAAACAUAGAUAGGGUCGACGACGGAACGAACAACGAAACUUUACGACAGCUUUUUCGUACACGUUCACUUGCAUCACAUACACAAGUGCUCUCUGAACCGUGCAAUAAGGUUUUUAGGUUAUGCAAUAGAAGGGGGGCUUUGCUCUGGAUCCCCCCUGCUUGCAGAAAUGAAUGGAUCAGAAGGGUGCUGGGUUCUAUUUCCGGGCCGGGCGGGAGGUGAAGGCCAUAAGAGAAGAUUGCCCUCCGGUAAGGAAGAGAGGAAAAAGGUGCUGUUCUCAAAGCAGAGGAGGAAGGGUGGGCAGCAGGUACCACGAGCCCUCUGUCCCACACAUCUAUCCAGAAGCAAGUGUAGUUCACCGGUUCCACCGAAUGCUCCUAUCUCUCGGCAAAGAUCGUGUGAGUGUGCAGUUAUGCUUCGGAUGCUUCGCUAUAGAAUAGAUCGACCCAGUUCCCGUUCUUUUCCGGUGCACUCGCUUUAUAUCUCCGACACACAAGGAAAGACGCGGUGGGAAGGAAGCAGCAGCCCUAGCCUCUGUCCGGCCGAUCAUUCCGCUGGCAUCUUGCAUUCACGCCUCCGUUUGACUGCCGCUUGGGGAUGUAGUUGUAGAUACGUUAGUCUUAGUGGGUCGUUGGCUCCACCUGUUAUCUCCUUCUACGACAUGCUGUUGUCGUCGCCAUAUUCCAUAUGUCACUUAGUCAUCUCUGCCUCGCUGCGGGUCAGCACCUCCGAAAGAAACGGAGGACUUCAUUCAGUGACUCCGCGAUCGCCCUCUGAACGAUCAGAAUAAGGUAAAGCUUGAAGAUAAGUUUUGUACUCUAUUAAUUUCUCAGUCCCUCUAGUCGGGUGGGCGCCGGCCGGUCUUUCGACCAGAUCCCCCUAAAAACCGUACGUGCGGGUCUCCCCGCAUGCGGCUCACGCCAUUCGAGGUGGCCCAGCCCAGCAUUCAUUCGCAAAUCCUGUAGUGAAAAAUGGAGACUGCUCGACCUCGGAAGCUAAUUCGCGUGUAGGCAGCGCUGUCUGUCGUACCGUUGACUCUAUCUAUUCAUUGAAUUUACUUUAUUACAUUUUUUAUAUAGGCUCGCUCCCUCUUUUUCCAAGAAUUCAUGCACUUCCCUUUACUUCAUAGGGCCUUCUCUAAUAGGGGAAAAGCCUUCCAUUUCCGUCAAAUGACCCGGCCUCCCCUGGCUCUUCCACCGUCCGGGCUCCCUUUCCUCCCUAUGCUAUGCUCCCCCGGCGCAGGCCUACCACGCUUCGCGCCUGCGGCGUUUUCGCCAGACGGUCUUUGCCAGUAGUGCCAUCCUCCCCGCUGGCUGUAUGAGCGGGUUGUCCCUCGCUGCUGCGUUCUGUUAGGCUAUGGAUUACAGGAACAAAUGUAGUUGAAUGAGACAGCAGGCGGGUUACACGUUCCACUGUGCCGAGAUGUGAGGUGCAGGUGGUGAUGAUCACCCCGGGGUAUGCGCUAGCGCCCUUGACAGGCACUCCAGGACCCGCCAACGCUCAUGAAAACCCGGGUCGGUCGGUCCUCCAUUCAUCCGACCGGAGGUGUGGAUAACGAGGCCACCUUCACAACCUUCUCCCUUCUGUCCCUAUGUUGUAGUAAGGUAGGGCGGUUCGCUUGAGUUGCUCAACCGCCCCUUAGCCCGGUGCUCAUGACGCGCUAUGGAACCUCCACCGUGCCGGGGGACCAAGCAGGGCAUAGCUAGCGGCAUAGGAGCCGACUCGGCGUCAGCGGCUUCGUGCCGCACUGGAGUAAUCCAAUAUGUGGUUCCGCACGUUCCACCACUUCUCCGUUCAUUUCCAAUACUGAUCGUGAAACACCAUGAGCAGCAGGAUGUUGAGGUCCGAAAUUCGAAGUGAAAUUUUGGAUUUGCCUGUUCCUAGUCGUCAUGGGAAAGAAGGGCAGAAAUAAGAAAGAGAUUAUUCCCUGAGAGCUUGUCCAGUACUACCAGUACCAGAAAUGCAUCUCCUUCGCCCGCGCGCGAUAGCUCUACCUGGCGUGCCGCCUUGCAUGCAAGCGAAGCGCUAUUGGCGGCAAUAAAUAGCUCACUGAGCGAUGAUUGAUGCAGCCCCUACCUUUGAAAGCUGAAGGAAGGCAGUGCCCUCGAUUGUUCCAGAGAGAAGGAUCAUGGCGCCCCAGAACCGUGACAUCCAGCAGCAGCAUCUCCUUGCGUGCGAGAGACUUCUAUGCCAGCCGUUAUUCCCGGCUCUGUUAUGAAAGAAAGCGGCAGACUCAUCUUACAGGUGUUCCCUAAUGAGGGAUUUUAGGAGAUUAGGGUUCUCCUUUAUCUCCUCCACCCAUCCGCGGAGGGUUUCAGUAUCCAUCUCCGCAGAUAUUUCCAGAUCGCGAGACAUAAUGUUCUCUGCGACACUGGAAUAGAUUUCUGCCAUUUCCGGAAAGUGAACGGACAGCCGCCCUUUCCCCUUCUCACAAUGUUCCCGAACUUGCUCAAGAAUCAAAGUGUGAAUGGCACUUCGAAGUGCCUCACGUUGUUCUUGAUGGGGAUCGGCGUGGGGAACUUCCACCGGUUCUGAAGCCAGCGGGUUCUGAAUGACCUC
This is an RNA transcript of Quercus lobata, 2583 nucleotides long. RefSeq lists it as uncharacterized. The transcript has 3 exons. The record is from RefSeq and is a predicted model, not a curated record. Lineage: Eukaryota; Viridiplantae; Streptophyta; Magnoliopsida; Fagales; Fagaceae.